This 490-nucleotide ribosomal RNA is filed under the name uncultured bacterium. RNAcentral's name for it is "partial 16S ribosomal RNA". It matches the Rfam family "Bacterial small subunit ribosomal RNA", at positions 30 to 507 of the family's 1533-position model. The record is from RNAcentral.
AUUGAACGCUGGCGGCAGGCCUAACACAUGCAAGUCGAACGGUAACAGGGAUCAGCUUGCUGAUUCGCUGACGAGUGGCGGACGGGUGAGUAAUGUCUGGGACACUGCCUGAUGGAGGGGGAUAACUACUGGAAACGGUAGCUAAUACCGCAUAACGUCGCAAGACCAAAGAUGGGGAACUUCGGGCCUCCUGCCAUCGGCUGUGCCCAGAUGGGAUUCGCUAGUAGGUGGGGUAACGGGUAACCUAGGCGACGAUCCAUAGCUGGUCUGAGAGGAUGAACAGCCACACUGGAACUGAGACACGGUCCAGACUCCUACGGGAGGCAGCAGUGGGGAAUAUUGCACAAUGGGCGCAAGCCUGAUGCAGCCAUGCCGCGUGUAUGAAGAAGGCCUUCGGGUUGUAAAAUACUUUCAGCGGGGAGGAAGGGAGUAAAGUUAAUACGUUUGCUCAUUGACGUUACCCGCAGAAGAAGCACCGGCUAACUCCGUG